CCCGCCCUGACCAAACCCCACAGAGAGAGCCCACCUCACCUCUUCCUGGACCAGGGGCAGGGGAGUGGGAGGUGAGUGAAGCAUUUUAACAAGAAAACGACGCGGCGGCCUCCACCGGAUCGAAAGCAGAACUAGCCGAGGGUGUGAAGACAGAAGAUGGAAAGUACAUUCCUGGACUGGGUCCUGGUGAGAACUUUGGCCAACAAGGAAUGGAGAGGGUGUGUCACCCUCAAGUGUGUGAAGCUUGUCAGGUGGCAUGGCAGGAAAUAAAAGCUGAAUAUGAGAAACAAAGUCCUCAAGAGCUCUUCCAGCAGAGAAAACAAAGACAAACCAGGAUGUGACCAUGGCGGGUCUGGCAGGAGAGGCUGUUAACUGGUACCCAGUACUGAGUGACAGAAAGAGGUGCCAGGUAAUCAUCUGCCAAGCUCUGACAAUGUCUUAAAGUACUUUUGGAAGAAGUUAUGCUGCCAUCCCGUUGGGUCCAGAAGGCAAAGCAUCCAGCCAAAGAGGAUUCUUCUUGAGCCUUAACAUCUGUUGGAAUUUGUCAUGCUAGGUUUUGGACUUGCCUAGUACAUACCAUCCCCUUUCUUUUUUCCGGUUUCUCCCUUUUGGAAUGGGAAUGCCUAUGCUCUGCCUGUCCCACUAUUGUGUUUUGGAAGUACAUACAUAACUUCUUGGGUUUCACAAGUUCACAGCUGGAGAGGGAUUUUUUGUCAGGAUGAAUCAUACCUUGAGUAUCACCCAUAUUCGGUUUAGAUGCCAUCAGAAUGGGUGAAGAAUUUUGGGGCUGUUGUGAUGGGUUGAAUGUGUUUUGCAUGCAAGAAGGACAUGAAUUUUGGGGACCAGAGGGCAGAAUCUUGUAGACUGAAUUUUGUUCCCCUCCCAGUUCAUAUAUUGAAGCCCUAACUCCACGUGACUGUAUUUGGAGAUAGGGCCUAUAGGAAGGUAAUAAAUGUUAAGUGAGGUCAUGAAGUUGAGGCUUAACCUAAAAGGACUGCUAUCCCUAUAAGAAGAGGGAGAGAUACCAAAGAUAUCUUUCUGUGCAUGCAUGCACAGAGAACAGGCCAUGUGAGGACACACAGAGAAGGCAACCAUGUACUAGCCAGUGAGAGAGGCCUCACUGGAAACCAACACGAAUGGCACCUUGAUCUUGGAAUUCUGGCCUCCAGAACUAUGAGAAAAAAAUUUCUGUUGUUUUAUCCACCAAGUCUGUAGUAUUUUGUUAUGACAGCCCAAGUGGAGAAGUACAAAAUCCCUUUGUUUAUUGUGAUAUUUCUAAAAUAUAUUAAUGCUUUAUUAAGAAAAGUUAGCAUAACAAGUCACAAUUUAAAUUUUAAAUACUC
Diceros bicornis minor is the source of this 1343-nucleotide long non-coding RNA. RefSeq lists it as uncharacterized. The record is from RefSeq and is a predicted model, not a curated record. NCBI's taxonomy places the organism in Eukaryota, Metazoa, Chordata, Mammalia, Perissodactyla, Rhinocerotidae. The transcript has 3 exons.